AUGAUAGCGGUGAGGUCACACCUGUUCCCAUACCGAACACAGAAGUUAAGCUCACUUGCGCCGAAAGUACUUGCUUGGAAACGAGUCGGGAGAAUAGGUAGUCGCGGGGU
Molecule: ribosomal RNA, 110 nt
Filed under: Eubacteriaceae bacterium
Lineage: Bacteria; Bacillati; Bacillota; Clostridia; Eubacteriales; Eubacteriaceae
Source: RNAcentral